RNAcentral lists this ribosomal RNA (551 nucleotides) under uncultured archaeon AM-19. RNAcentral describes it as "bacterial SSU rRNA". It matches the Rfam family "Archaeal small subunit ribosomal RNA", at positions 874 to 1429 of the family's 1478-position model. The record is from RNAcentral.
GGACACCCAGGGGGUGGAGCCUGCGGUUUAAUCGGACUCAACGCCGGGAAACUCACCGGAUAAGACAGCUGAAUGAUUGCCGGGCUGAAGACUCUGCAUGACUAGCUGAGAGGAGGUGCAUGCCGUCGUCAGUUCGUACUGUGAAGCAUCCUGUUAAGUCAGGCAACGAGCGAGACCCACGCCAACAGUUGCUAGCUCGUCCUCCGGGAUGGAGAGGACACUGUUGGGACCGCCUCUGCUAAAGAGGAGGAAGGAGCGGGCGACGGUAGGUCAGUAUGCCCCGAAUUCUCCGGGCUACACGCGGGCUACAAUGGAUGGGACAAUGGGUUCCGACACCGAAAGGUGAAGGCAAUCUCUUAAACCCAUUCUUAGUUCGGAUUGAGGGCUGAAACUCGCCCUCAUGAAGCUGGAAUCCGUAGUAAUCGCGUUUCAACAUAGCGCGGUGAAUACGUCCCUGCUCCUUGCACACACCGCCGUCAAACCACCCGAGUGGGGUUUAUGUGAGGGCGUGGUUUUUGCCACGUUCGAACAUAGGUUCCGCAAGGGGGGUU